This is a long non-coding RNA of Mytilus trossulus (common blue mussel), 1239 nucleotides long. RefSeq lists it as uncharacterized. NCBI's taxonomy places the organism in Eukaryota, Metazoa, Mollusca, Bivalvia, Mytilida, Mytilidae. The transcript is spliced from 4 exons. The record is from RefSeq and is a predicted model, not a curated record.
AUUUUUACAGAUUUUAUAGAAAUGAAAAUGUACACGAAAAAACACAAGACAUCAAACAAUAUAUUGAUUUGAAUGUGUUUCAUUCAUAUCUCAAAAAACGAGUUGAUUAUAUAGGGAAUCACUGAAGCAUGACUGGAGUCCCCCCCUUUUUGAUUAGUCCCCCUUUAGUUCAGUCAAUAGGCCCACCUUAUAAAAAGUACUGGAUCUCCCACUGAAACAUGUUUGUGAAUGCUCAACAAUGCACUAACCUGGGACAAUAAGAAUAAACGGUAAAAAUAUGGUUCUUUUGGCUUUCCACACUAGUUUUGUACGAGGCACGUAAAUAACAACUAAUAUAGAAAGUAGACACAGAUAAAUAAAUCAUGUUUUUUUAACUGAAGUAUUAUUAAUAUUCACAGACCAAUUGAUUUUGAUGGGUUGGAGCCAUGGAUUUUAUAUGAAGCUAGAUUUUUAAGCAAGACAAAAUUUUGUUUUUUACAUCAUUCAUAUCCUAUUUGCCAAAAAUAAAUCCAGAACAUUUUUUUUGUAACUGAAUAUGUAGGUCAGAUUAUUUGUUUAAACAUUACAGAUUAGUUUUUGGUUUGUCCAUAAGGAUUGAGACUGGAAAUGGCAAUUGAAUCAGACUUUUAAAGCUGAUGUGAAGACUGAUUUCAUGGUGUUGGAAGUAAGAACUGGCGAUCUUAUACUGCUAACAUAUUGGUUAGCAUCACAGAUUGUCCUUUUGCAUACUGUCCGGAGUAGAAUUUGGAUCUUUUUGAGGUGCCCUUGUGUGGUCAAUCCAAUGGACAAUAACAAUCAUGCAGACCAGAUAUAUAUUGCUUUUUGUAUAAUAAAAUCUUUAAAUGAUAAUUCUGAAAGCCAAAUGAUUCAUUUUUUUAUGCUGUUACUUUUUCCAUUUACUGUAAAUUAACAAUUUUUUGUUUUUAAUGCUGUUAUUCGUUUGGCUCAAAUGAAGUAUACUGAUAUUUAGUUCCAGAUUUUGAUAUAUGUAUUCCUAUGCAAAUAAAAACUUGUAUUAUAGUUAUAAAAAUAGUUGAUUAAUACUAUCAUUUUAUAAUUAUUAUUUGAUGAAAUGGAAAAUUAUAAUUGUAAUGGUUGACAUUUUGAUAGAAUAAAAUAGUCUGUUAUGAUUGACUGGUAGACAGAUCAACAGGUUGACAAGUCAAAAGAUGCCUAUAUUAAGGAAACUCGCUUGUCAUGUUUUGGAACUUUGGUAAGGCAGCAACCAUUUGAUUUUGU